AAAUUGAAGAGUUUGAUCAUGGCUCAGAUUGAACGCUGGCGGCAGGCCUAACACAUGCAAGUCGAGCGGUAGCACAGGAGCAGCUUGCUCUCGGGUGACGAGCGGCGGACGGGUGAGUAAUGUCUGGGAAACUGCCUGAUGGAGGGGGAUAACUACUGGAAACGGUAGCUAAUACCGCAUAACGUCGCAAGACCAAAGUGGGGGACCUUCGGGCCUCAUGCCAUCAGAUGUGCCCAGAUGGGAUUAGCUAGUAGGUGGGGUAACGGCUCACCUAGGCGACGAUCCCUAGCUGGUCUGAGAGGAUGACCAGCCACACUGGAACUGAGACACGGUCCAGACUCCUACGGGAGGCAGCAGUGGGGAAUAUUGCACAAUGGGCGCAAGCCUGAUGCAGCCAUGCCGCGUGUGUGAAGAAGGCCUUCGGGUUGUAAAGCACUUUCAGCGGGGAGGAAGGCGAACAGGGUUAAUAACCUGUCGAUUGACGUUACCCGCAGAAGAAGCACCGGCUAACUCCGUGCCAGCAGCCGCGGUAAUACGGAGGGUGCAAGCGUUAAUCGGAAUUACUGGGCGUAAAGCGCACGCAGGCGGUCUGUCAAGUCGGAUGUGAAAUCCCCGGGCUCAACCUGGGAACUGCAUUCGAAACUGGCAGGCUAGAGUCUUGUAGAGGGGGUAGAAUUCCAGGUGUAGCGGUGAAAUGCGUAGAGAUCUGGAGGAAUACCGGUGGCGAAGGCGGCCCCCUGGACAAAGACUGACGCUCAGGUGCGAAAGCGUGGGGAGCAAACAGGAUUAGAUACCCUGGUAGUCCACGCCGUAAACGAUGUCGAUUUGGAGGUUGUGCCCUUGAGGCGUGGCUUCCGGAGCUAACGCGUUAAAUCGACCGCCUGGGGAGUACGGCCGCAAGGUUAAAACUCAAAUGAAUUGACGGGGGCCCGCACAAGCGGUGGAGCAUGUGGUUUAAUUCGAUGCAACGCGAAGAACCUUACCUACUCUUGACAUCCACAGAACUUUCCAGAGAUGGAUUGGUGCCUUCGGGAACUCUGAGACAGGUGCUGCAUGGCUGUCGUCAGCUCGUGUUGUGAAAUGUUGGGUUAAGUCCCGCAACGAGCGCAACCCUUAUCCUUUGUUGCCAGCGGUUCGGCCGGGAACUCAAAGGAGACUGCCAGUGAUAAACUGGAGGAAGGUGGGGAUGACGUCAAGUCAUCAUGGCCCUUACGACCAGGGCUACACACGUGCUACAAUGGCAUAUACAAAGAGAAGCGACCUCGCGAGAGCAAGCGGACCUCAUAAAGUAUGUCGUAGUCCGGAUUGGAGUCUGCAACUCGACUCCAUGAAGUCGGAAUCGCUAGUAAUCGUAGAUCAGAAUGCUACGGUGAAUACGUUCCCGGGCCUUGUACACACCGCCCGUCACACCAUGGGAGUGGGUUGCAAAAGAAGUAGGUAGCUUAACCUUCGGGAGGGCGCUUACCACUUUGUGAUUCAUGACUGGGGUGAAGUCGUAACAAGGUAACCGUAGGGGAACCUGCGGUUGGAUCACCUCCUUA
This 1541-nucleotide ribosomal RNA is filed under the name Klebsiella pneumoniae. RNAcentral describes it as "16S ribosomal RNA". It matches the Rfam family "Bacterial small subunit ribosomal RNA". The record is from RNAcentral. Lineage: Bacteria; Pseudomonadati; Pseudomonadota; Gammaproteobacteria; Enterobacterales; Enterobacteriaceae.